GUCCAUGCUGUAAACGAUGAACACUUGGUGUGGCGGGAGUUGACCCCUGCCGUGCCGUAGCUAACGCGAUAAGUGUUCCGCCUGGGAGUACGGCCGCAAGGUUGAAACUCAAAGGAAUUGACGGGGCCCGCACAAGCGGUGGAGCAUGUGGUUUAAUUCGACGCAACGCGAAGAACCUUACCUGGGCUUGAAAUACAGGAGACACCGCCAGAGAUGGCGUCUUUCGCAAGAACUGCUGUAUAGGUGCUGCAUGGCUGUCGU
This 261-nucleotide ribosomal RNA is filed under the name uncultured bacterium. RNAcentral describes it as "partial 16S ribosomal RNA". It matches the Rfam family "Bacterial small subunit ribosomal RNA", at positions 793 to 1055 of the family's 1533-position model. The record is from RNAcentral.